This is a long non-coding RNA of Hyaena hyaena (striped hyena), 213 nucleotides long. RefSeq lists it as uncharacterized. Lineage: Eukaryota; Metazoa; Chordata; Mammalia; Carnivora; Hyaenidae. The transcript is spliced from 2 exons. The record is from RefSeq and is a predicted model, not a curated record.
AAGAAAAGGGAAGGGAACUUAAUUACUAAGGUCUCUGUUUUCAAUCGAAACAUGGAAGGCCAAGAAAGCAGAGAGCACCAGACAGAUUUCCUGAGAGGAAAGAGGAUCGUGGGUCUCAGCAGCCUCUCUCUGCAACUUCUUUCAGAAUCUCCUCCAGUUCAACCCAAUAAACUAAAACCCCCGGGGGUCUCACGUCAGCCCUUCCAAACCCAA